RNAcentral lists this ribosomal RNA (386 nucleotides) under uncultured bacterium. Its description in RNAcentral is "bacterial SSU rRNA". It matches the Rfam family "Bacterial small subunit ribosomal RNA", at positions 29 to 416 of the family's 1533-position model. The record is from RNAcentral.
AUUGAACGCUGGCGGCAUGCUUUACACAUGCAAGUCGAGCGGCAGCGCGGGGGCAACCCUGGCGGCGAGCGGCGAACGGGUGAGUAAUGCAUCGGAACGUACCCUGGAGUGGGGGAUAACGCCGCGAAAGCGGCGCUAAUACCGCAUAUGCUCUGAGGAGGAAAGUGGGGGACCGCAAGGCCUCACGCUCUGGGAGCGGCCGAUGUCCGAUUAGCUAGUUGGUGGGGUAAAGCUUACCAAGGCGACGAUCGGUAGCUGGUCUGAGAGGAUGAUCAGCCACACUGGGACUGAGACACGGCCCAGACUCCUACGGGAGGCAGCAGUGGGGAAUUUUGGACAAAUGGGGGCAACCCUGAUCCAGCCAUGCCGCGUGAGUGAAGAAGGCC